Molecule: ribosomal RNA, 345 nt
Filed under: uncultured bacterium
Lineage: Bacteria
Description: bacterial SSU rRNA
Rfam family: Bacterial small subunit ribosomal RNA
Source: RNAcentral
GGGGGCAACCCUGACCGAGCAACGCCGCGUGAGUGAAGAAGGUUUUCGGAUCGUAAAGCUCUGUUGUAAGAGAAGAACGAGUGUGAGAGUGGAAAGUUCACACUGUGACGGUAUCUUACCAGAAAGGGACGGCUAACUACGUGCCAGCAGCCGCGGUAAUACGUAGGUCCCGAGCGUUGUCCGGAUUUAUUGGGCGUAAAGCGAGCGCAGGCGGUUAGAUAAGUCUGAAGUUAAAGGCUGUGGCUUAACCAUAGUACGCUUUGGAAACUGUUUAACUUGAGUGCAAGAGGGGAGAGUGGAAUUCCAUGUGUAGCGGUGAAAUGCGUAGAUAUAUGGAGGAACACC